RNAcentral lists this ribosomal RNA (468 nucleotides) under uncultured bacterium. RNAcentral describes it as "partial 16S ribosomal RNA". It matches the Rfam family "Bacterial small subunit ribosomal RNA", at positions 28 to 507 of the family's 1533-position model. The record is from RNAcentral.
GACGAACGCUGGCGGCGUGCUUAACACAUGCAAGUCGAACGGAAAGGCCCUGCUUUUGUGGGGUUCUCGAUUGGCGAACGGGUGAGUAACACGUGAGUAACCUGCCCUUGACUUUGGGAUAACUUCAGGAAACUCGGGCUAAUAUCGGGUAGGAGCUCCUGCUGCAUGGUGGUGGUUGGAAAGUUUCGGCGGUUGGGGAUGGACUCGCGGCUUAUCAGCUUGUUGGUGUGGUAGUGGCUUACCAAGGCUUUGACGGGUAGCCGGCCUGAGAGGGUGACCGGGCACCUUGGGACUGAGGUACGGCCCAGACUCCUACGGGAGGCAGCAGUGGGGAAUAUUGCACAAUGGGCGGAAGCCUGAUGCAGCAACGCCGCGUGCGGGAUGACGGCCUUCGGGUUGUAAACCGAUUUCGCCUGUGAUGAAGCGUGAGUGACGGUAAUGGGUAAAGAAGCACCGGCUAACUACGUG